This 445-nucleotide ribosomal RNA is filed under the name uncultured bacterium. RNAcentral describes it as "partial 16S ribosomal RNA". It matches the Rfam family "Bacterial small subunit ribosomal RNA", at positions 354 to 796 of the family's 1533-position model. The record is from RNAcentral.
GUGAGGAAUAUUGCGCAAUGGAGGCAACUCUGACGCAGCCAUGCCGCGUGCAGGAAGAAGGCGCUACGCGUUGUAAACUGCUUUUAACCGGGAAGAAACCCCAGGACGUGUCCUGGGUUGACGGUACCGGAGGAAUAAGCACCGGCUAACUUCGUGCCAACAGCCGCGGUAAUACGAAGGGUGCAAGCGUUAUCCGGAUUCAUUGGGUUUAAAGGGUGCGUAGGCGGAGCGUUAAGUCAGUGGUGAAAUCCUGCAGCUUAACUGUAGACUUGCCAUUGAUACUGGCGCUCUUGAGUGCGCUUGAAGUGGGCGGAAUGUGCCGUGUAGCGGUGAAAUGCUUAGAUAUGGCACAGAACACCAAUUGCGAAGGCAGCUCACUAAGGCGAUACUGACGCUGAGGCACGAAAGCGUGGGGAUCGAACAGGAUUAGAAACCCCGGUAGUCC